GACGAACGCUGGCGGCGUGCUUAACACAUGCAAGUCGAACGGAAAGGCCCUGCUUGCAGGGUACUCGAGUGGCGAACGGGUGAGUAACACGUGGGUGAUCUGCCCUUCACUUCGGGAUAAGCCUGGGAAACUGGGUCUAAUACCGGAUAGGAGCCAUUUUUAGUGUGAUGGUUGGAAAGUUUUUUCGGUGUGGGAUGAGCUCGCGGCCUAUCAGCUUGUUGGUGGGGUAAUGGCCUACCAAGGCGGCGACGGGUAGCCGGCCUGAGAGGGUGGACGGCCACAAUGGGACUGAGAUACGGCCCAGACUCCUACGGGAGGCAGCAGUGGGGAAUAUUGCACAAUGGGCGCAAGCCUGAUGCAGCGACGCCGCGUGGGGGAUGACGGCCUUCGGGUUGUAAACUCCUUUAGCUAGGGACGAAGCUUUUGUGACGGUACCUAGAUAAGAAGCACCGGCUAACUACGUG
This 464-nucleotide ribosomal RNA is filed under the name uncultured bacterium. Its description in RNAcentral is "partial 16S ribosomal RNA". It matches the Rfam family "Bacterial small subunit ribosomal RNA", at positions 28 to 507 of the family's 1533-position model. The record is from RNAcentral.